RNAcentral lists this unclassified non-coding RNA (1000 nucleotides) under Hevea brasiliensis (rubber tree). The record is from RNAcentral. Lineage: Eukaryota; Viridiplantae; Streptophyta; Magnoliopsida; Malpighiales; Euphorbiaceae.
AAGUACCAAAAUCACCGAUAACAAUUACCACGAGGUCAUCGGUCACAUGGAGAGGCAAGCUGAGGUCUCUUGUGAAGAAGCCUUACAAAGACCAAAGACAUUCUAUGAUAACCCAGAAUUUGGUAAGUUUUACACGAUACCAUCUAAGAACAAAAGAAAUGCUGCUCCAUUGAUGGCAUUUCUCUGAGUAAUCCAGAAUGGAUUGCUACUUUCCACCACAAUUUUUGCCAGAAUCCACAGAAUGUGACACAGCUGGAACAGAGUCUUCAAAAUGGAUGUACAACUUUCAGACCCAUAGGCUUCCAAAGGCUUCUUCAAGUGCCCUUUUCCUGCUUAUUUCUAAACUCCAACCCCCAGCCUUAGCAGCCCUUUCAGUUCUUAGUUUCAUCUUUUCAUCAUCUUCAUACUCUCCCCCUAGCAUAUCUGGAAAUGAUCCAACUGGGAGAGGUUGUGUUGGCCGUGGCUGAGCUAUGCCUCCAGCUAUUGCAGGGGCAUAGUGCCCUUGUGGACCUGUACUGGACCCUGCCUGAGGCCCUUGGCCCAAAGCAUCUCCAUCGGACUGUGCAGGCUGUCCCUUGCUGGCUGCCAAGGCUGCUGCAUAUUCUUCAGCCUUACGUGCUUGAGCAAUCAUGAUUUGGUCUGCAUUUUCUCUCUGGUACUGUGCAAUCUUUGCCUCAAUAGCAGGAACAUCAAUGCCUUCAAUUAAAUUGAAUAUCAUAUCCUCAACUUCCUCCAGAUAAUCAUUGUAUUCACGCAAUGAUGGAAAAUUCUCUUCUCUUUUAUUAUAGAUGUUGGCAAUGCGUUUUCUGAUGGCCAUCUCUUUGGAAAAUGCAUUGGUUGAGGCUACCACCAUUAUUAGAGCCGCUUUCGAACCCUAAGAAUCAACUCGAUAAUUUGUUCUCGUCUCUACAUCUACGUACGGCGAUAGAGAUGACGGAACCGGCGGUGAUGUAAGCUCCGGCUAAAUAUAGCCUGAAGAAAUGGGGGAAGUGAAGUGAAA